UACGUAGGGGGCAAGCGUUGUCCGGAAUUAUUGGGCGUAAAGGGCGCGUAGGCGGCCAUUCAAGUGACGGGUGAAAGCCCUCGGCUUAACCGAGGAACUGCCUGUCAGACUGGAUGGCUUGAGACCGGGAGAGGUGAGUGGAAUUCCCAGUGUAGCGGUGAAAUGCGUAGAUAUUGGGAGGAACACCAGUGGCGAAGGCGGCUCACUGGACCGGAACUGACGCUGAGGCGCGAAAGCGUGGGGAGCAAACAGG
RNAcentral lists this ribosomal RNA (253 nucleotides) under uncultured bacterium. RNAcentral's name for it is "partial 16S ribosomal RNA". It matches the Rfam family "Bacterial small subunit ribosomal RNA", at positions 524 to 776 of the family's 1533-position model. The record is from RNAcentral.